Molecule: small RNA, 128 nt
Filed under: Arabidopsis thaliana (thale cress)
Lineage: Eukaryota; Viridiplantae; Streptophyta; Magnoliopsida; Brassicales; Brassicaceae
Description: ATSL290810
Source: RNAcentral
UGAAUAUUAAAAUAGUAUGAAACUUCGAUAUACACGCUUAUAAUGAAUAGUCCAAUUGUCAUUUUAAGAAUUAGACACUUUAAUAUGUGACUGUAAAAACUCUUUAAAUAUGUAUAUUAUUGGUUAGA